UACGGAGGGUGCAAGCGUUAAUCGGAAUUACUGGGCGUAAAGCGCGCGUAGGCGGAUGAUUAAGUUGGAUGUGAAAGCCCAGGGCUCAACCUUGGAACUGCAUUCAAUACUGGUGAUCUAGAGUACAGUAGAGGAGGGUAGAAUUUCUUGUGUAGCAGUGAAAUGCGUAGAUAUAAGAAGGAAUACCAGUGGCGAAGGCG
RNAcentral lists this ribosomal RNA (200 nucleotides) under uncultured bacterium. RNAcentral describes it as "partial 16S ribosomal RNA". It matches the Rfam family "Bacterial small subunit ribosomal RNA", at positions 524 to 723 of the family's 1533-position model. The record is from RNAcentral.